UCUAAAGGACUGCUUGCUUCUGAGUGUGGA
This 30-nucleotide non-coding RNA is filed under the name Rattus norvegicus (Norway rat). The record is from RNAcentral. Lineage: Eukaryota; Metazoa; Chordata; Mammalia; Rodentia; Muridae.